GAUGAACGCUGGCGGCGUGCCUAAUACAUGCAAGUCGAGCGAACGGACGAGAAGCUUGCUUCUCUGAUGUUAGCGGCGGACGGGUGAGUAACACGUGGAUAACCUACCUAUAAGACUGGGAUAACUUCGGGAAACCGGAGCUAAUACCGGAUAAUAUUUUGAACCGCAUGGUUCAAAAGUGAAAGACGGUCUUGCUGUCACUUAUAGAUGGAUCCGCGCUGCAUUAGCUAGUUGGUAAGGUAACGGCUUACCAAGGCAACGAUGCAUAGCCGACCUGAGAGGGUGAUCGGCCACACUGGAACUGAGACACGGUCCAGACUCCUACGGGAGGCAGCAGUAGGGAAUCUUCCGCAAUGGGCGAAAGCCUGACGGAGCAACGCCGCGUGAGUGAUGAAGGUCUUCGGAUCGUAAAACUCUGUUAUUAGGGAAGAACAUAUGUGUAAGUAACUGUGCACAUCUUGACGGUACCUAAUCAGAAAGCCACGGCUAACUACGUGCCAGCAGCCGCGGUAAUACGUAGGUGGCAAGCGUUAUCCGGAAUUAUUGGGCGUAAAGCGCGCGUAGGCGGUUUUUUAAGUCUGAUGUGAAAGCCCACGGCUCAACCGUGGAGGGUCAUUGGAAACUGGAAAACUUGAGUGCAGAAGAGGAAAGUGGAAUUCCAUGUGUAGCGGUGAAAUGCGCAGAGAUAUGGAGGAACACCAGUGGCGAAGGCGACUUUCUGGUCUGUAACUGACGCUGAUGUGCGAAAGCGUGGGGAUCAAACAGGAUUAGAUACCCUGGUAGUCCACGCCGUAAACGAUGAGUGCUAAGUGUUAGGGGGUUUCCGCCCCUUAGUGCUGCAGCUAACGCAUUAAGCACUCCGCCUGGGGAGUACGACCGCAAGGUUGAAACUCAAAGGAAUUGACGGGGACCCGCACAAGCGGUGGAGCAUGUGGUUUAAUUCGAAGCAACGCGAAGAACCUUACCAAAUCUUGACAUCCUUUGACAACUCUAGAGAUAGAGCUUUCCCCUUCGGGGGACAAAGUGACAGGUGGUGCAUGGUUGUCGUCAGCUCGUGUCGUGAGAUGUUGGGUUAAGUCCCGCAACGAGCGCAACCCUUAAGCUUAGUUGCCAUCAUUAAGUUGGGCACUCUAAGUUGACUGCCGGUGACAAACCGGAGGAAGGUGGGGAUGACGUCAAAUCAUCAUGCCCCUUAUGAUUUGGGCUACACACGUGCUACAAUGGACAAUACAAAGGGCAGCGAAACCGUGAGGUCAAGCAAAUCCCAUAAAGUUGUUCUCAGUUCGGAUUGUAGUCUGCAACUCGACUACAUGGAGCUGGAAUCGCUAGUAAUCGUAGAUCAGCAUGCUACGGUGAAUACGUUCCCGGGUCU
RNAcentral lists this ribosomal RNA (1372 nucleotides) under uncultured bacterium. RNAcentral describes it as "bacterial SSU rRNA". It matches the Rfam family "Bacterial small subunit ribosomal RNA", at positions 28 to 1381 of the family's 1533-position model. The record is from RNAcentral.